Kogia breviceps (pygmy sperm whale) is the source of this 3618-nucleotide non-coding RNA. NCBI's taxonomy places the organism in Eukaryota, Metazoa, Chordata, Mammalia, Artiodactyla, Physeteridae. The record is from RefSeq and is a predicted model, not a curated record.
CACACUGGCUACGGCUGCAGGGGCCCCCCUCCCGCCACCGGCAGGGCGGGCUCUUCCGGAGCCCACGGAGGGCAUGGAGGGAAACAGCUCCUCCUGGCCACGCCGGCCACCCUGGCACGGGCACGGUCCCCGGAGCCAGCAGCAACGAGGAGGCUGCCGGGUCCCGGCCUGGGAGCCGACCCGGCGGGACGUGGCCCACUGAGAGCGACCUUUUUCCUACAGCUGCUCCAUCCGUGGAGAUAUCUGCAAGGCCGACCAUGUUCCCUACGCCCCCUGCUGCUGGCCAGCAGGGGAGGAGAGGACCACAGAGCCCGCUGCGGGAGCUCGCACGACGUGCUUCUCUGGACUCCUGUCUGCAAGCUCGUGACAAGCCUGGUCUGUAGGUGAAGUGCUCCAACACGGGCAGCGGGACAGACACGGGGGAGGUCGGGCUGAGAAGGCAGGAAGGAGGCACCAGCAGGGCAGAGCUGGGGCAAAGCCACCGGGGAUUCUAGAUCAUUCCGGAAUCAUCUGGACGACCAGAUGACUCCCUUCUGGAGCAACAGUGACCUUGCACGCUGACCCCUGGCCCGGGCUGGGCGGUGCUGGUGAGCAGAUCGGUUUUGCCUGGUUUUGAACUUCACGUUCAGGAUGAAAUCAUACAGCCGAUAGUCGCCCGUAUCCAGUGUCUUCUCUUGGACGUCACGCCUGCAAGUGGUGUGUUUCCGUGAGCAGCAGCAGACGUUCAGUGACGUCCUGCCCACCGGGUGAAGACACACAAUUGAUCCAUUUUACUGCUCGUGGGCAUUUGGCUGUUUCCAGGGUUUUUCCCACUAUCAUGAACAGUGCUGCUCUGGCACUUUGAUUCUCUGUCACUGUCAUUCCUUAGAUGGAGAUGGUAAAGCCCACAGAGGGAGAGACUGGAUUGUGUCCACUUUCGUUUCCCCCUUUUCUGCGCAGAAACAGGAAGUCCCCACUCUGGCCCUAGGCUAGAAGGUGGAGUUCUCCGACUGUCUGAAGCAGGCCUGGGCUGCAGGGUUGGGGUAGUUUUCUCAGUGAUAUAAACAGUCACCUGCUCCUUCUAGUCAAGUCUCUGUGAACAGGACCAGGUGGCUCUGGUGAAGGAGAGACUGGGAAGAGAGAACCCUGUUUCACUCUGGAUCAAAACUGUAGACGUGUGGUAACAUCUAUACUAGCUUGAAAUUGUAUUUAGCUACAAGUAGCAGAGACCUGGGAAAUAGUGGCUUAGAUAAAAUAGAGGUUUAUUCUCACAGAUCAGAGAAGUCAGGGACUCCCAGGACAGGUAUGAUAAUUCUAAAGCAUCAGCGGGAACCCCCAAUCCUCUUUCUGUUCUGCCAUAUUCAGAGUUUUGGCUCCAUCCUCAAGGUCACAAAAUGGCCUCUGGAGUGCCAGCCAUCAUGUAUAUGUUCCAGGCAGGCAGAAAAAGGAAGAAAAUAAGAAGAGCACACACGAGCUCUUUAGGAGCUUUAUUGGAAGUCCUGCCCAACAACUUCUGCUUGCAUGUCAUUAGCCAACCCGUUUGACAGGGAAGCUGGAAAGGGAGUCUUAGCUGCUCACCUGAUCACCUUGAGAGAAGGGGAGGUUAGAUAUUGGGCAGGCAAUGAGCAGGCUCUUGCUCAACAUCCAAGCCCAGUUUCCUUCUGCCUUAGUUGGGAUAUUGAGAGACAAGAGAGUUUCCAACGCCAGCCAUUGCUAGAAGCAAGUGAGUUUGAUUCCUAAAACAAAAUGCUUUAAAUGGGCUUUGCCGAUGUUCUCCUCCUUUGCCGGUUCUCCUCCUUCAUUAGAGCCACACGGUGCCCCCUCGGGAAGGGGCACGGCCUCUCCUCGAGAACGGCAGAAGAGUGGCAGGCGCAGGUGGUUCUGUCUCAGAAACCCUCUCAGCUCAGCCGGGCGCCUGCAGGAUGAAUCAGCUGCAAAUCCGGGUAAUGCUCUCCCAGCUCGGGUGUGGAACGCACGUUGCAAACACAGGCCACACCUGAUGCCGGAGCGUGUGCUUGUCCUACGACGGGGGAACCCACACUUCCGGGGGCCCUUCAGAGACAGGCCCUGGGAGGACAGGUGCCUCCCAUAUGUACCUGCCCACGGGUGUUCAAAGCAGCACAAUUCACAGCAGCCAAAAGGUGGAAGCAAGCAAUGUCUGUCCACAGAUGAACAAAGUGUGGUCUUACACACGCGACGGAAUAAUAUUAUUCCGCCUGGAAAGAAAGGAGAUCCAGACACGGGCUCCAACACGGGUGAAGCUGAAGACAUUUUGCUGAGCGAAACAAGCCAGGCACAAAAGGACAAGUACUGCAUGAUCCCACUUAUGUAAGACACCUAGAGUCCCAAUCCACAGAGGCAGGAAGUGGAAGGGUGGUUCUCAGGGGCUGCGGGAGGGGUGAGGAGUGAGGGUUUAACGGGGACAGAGUUUCAGUUUGGGAAGAUGAAUAAUUUCUGGAGAUGAUGGCGGUGAUGGCUGUACAACAACGUGAACGUUAACGCCACUGAACUGUACACUUUUAAAUGGUAAAUGUUACGUUACGUAUAUUUUACCACAAUACAAAUACUAAAACAACCCCCCAAAAUAAAAACCAAGACCACAUGGAGAGGUUCCUCUGCUGUCGGCACGGGUCUGUGGGCAGAGCCGCGCACGUGCACAAGCUCCGUGGAGCGCAGCUCAGGCCGGUGUCACCAGGGAAACUGAGGCUGGGGGGGGCGCUGGGGGGGGGCGCUGGGGGGUGGAGCUGGGCCUGGCUCCGCCCCCUUUAGACUCCGCGCGCUCCUUCCCGAGCCCCGGUGUUCUUUGGCGGCCGGCCCGGAGGGAGGACGGCGGACUGGCUCCCCCCGCAGGGGCGACCCCCGCUCCUCACGCAGGUGGAUCAGGUGGCGGGGGGGGCCUGGCACGGGCCUCAGCAUCAGGGUGGCCCGGGCGGAGCCGGCACCGCGCACCCCAGCCCCGCGGACGCCACUCUCCGGCCACACCGGCCACACCCGGGCUGCGCGGCCGCCGAACGGGCGGGGCGCCACCUGCUGGCGGAGGCGGGGGGCGCGCGGGUACGUUCGGGGCCGGGCCUCCUGCGGGUGCGGGCGGGGUCUGUGCGGUUCCGCAGCCCAAGCCGGGGCUGACAGCUACAGAACUUUAUCCCUCCCAGGGCCGAGCCCAGAGCUCCCCCUCCCCGAAAGCCGGGGCCAGGGAGUUCCCGGGCUCCCCAGCUCCCGGGGGUGGCAGCCCCCUGCCCCACCUCUGCUCAGUCCUCACAGGACGACGCCUCCCCGUGCAUCUGCGUCCACGCUCCCCUCUUCCCGUGAGGACACAAGUCAUCGGAUCCAGUACGCCUCAUCUUAACUCGAUCACAUCUACAAAGACCCCAUUUCCAAAUGAGAUCACAUCACAGGCCAAGGGGACGUGAAUUUGGGUGCAUUCUAUUGAACUCAGCAGAGGCCCCUGAUGCAGCCUUCCCUGACCUCCACCGGGACCAGCCCCUGUCCUGCGCGCCCAGCAGAGCACGUGGGCCGCUGGGUGGGGUCUGCACCGCACUGCACUGAACCUGCUGGCUGGGAAGCAUGUUCUUUAUGCUUCCUCUACAAAGCCUCUACAACGAUGUCCCAGCACAAGUCUGGGGCGUCAGAGCCCCUGCC